GCUAAACAGCUAGCUUAAUCACCUAAAUAACUAAAACAACAUUAAAUAACUUAAAACGACCCCAACCCCCUAAACUAAAACAUUCUACCGCCCUAGUAUGGGAGACAGAAAAGGCAAACCCUAAAGCAAUAACAAAAGUACCGCAAGGGAACGCUGAAAGAGAAAUGAAACAAAUCAUUAAAGCACAACAAAGCAGAGAUUAACCCUCGUACCUUUUGCAUCAUGAUUUAGCUAGUACCCUUGAGCAAAGAGAGCUUUAGUUCAAACCCCCGAAACUAAGUGAGCUACCCCGGGACAGCCUAUAAAUUAGGGCCAACCCGUCUCUGUGGCAAAAGAGUGGGAAGAUCCCCGGGUAGAGGUGACAGACCUACCGAACUUAGUUAUAGCUGGUUGCCUAAGAAAUGAAUAGAAGUUCAGCCCGCACGCCCUCAGCUCCCCCACAUAUCACAAACCAUGAGUCAGAGUAACAUGCGAGAGUUAGUCAAAGGAGGUACAGCUCCUUUGAACCAGGACACAACCUUACCAGGAGGUUAAAGAUUAUACUAACUAAGAUACACCGCUUCAGUGGGCCUAAAAGCAGCCACCUGGAUAGAAAGCGUUAAAGCUCAGGCGGACCAAAAAUCUAUUAUCCAAAUAUCAAAUCUUAAACCCCUAACCAUACUAGGCCACCCUAUGCGCACAUAGAAGAGAUUAUGCUAAAAUGAGUAAUAAGAAGAGUAACCCCUUCUCCCCGCCUACGUGUACGCUAGACCGAACCCCCACUAGCAAUUACCGAACCCAAUAAAAGAGGGCAAUGUACUUACACCAAACACCAAGAAAACCGUACAUAACCCGAUCGUUAACCCCACACCGGAAGGCUUAAAAUGAGGAAAGACUAAAAGAAAAGGAAGGAACUCGGCAAACACAAGCCUCGCCUGUUUACCAAAAACAUCGCCUCCUGCAAAAAUCAACGUAUAGGAGGUCCUACCUGCCCAGUGACAAGUUUAACGGCCGCGGUAUUUUGACCGUGCAAAGGUAGCGCAAUCACUUGUCUUUUAAAUGAAGACCUGUAUGAAUGGUGGAACGAGGGCUUAACUGUCUCCCCUUUCAAGUCAAUGAAAUUGAUCUGCCCG
RNAcentral lists this ribosomal RNA (1112 nucleotides) under Cheirocerus abuelo. RNAcentral's name for it is "partial 16S ribosomal RNA". The stretch from base 191 to 1103 matches the Rfam family "Bacterial large subunit ribosomal RNA", at positions 568 to 2044 of the family's 2925-position model. The record is from RNAcentral. Lineage: Eukaryota; Metazoa; Chordata; Actinopteri; Siluriformes; Pimelodidae.